This 329-nucleotide unclassified non-coding RNA is filed under the name soil metagenome. RNAcentral's name for it is "partial contains 5.8S ribosomal RNA, internal transcribed spacer 2, and large subunit ribosomal RNA". The stretch from base 1 to 120 matches the Rfam family "5.8S ribosomal RNA", at positions 35 to 154 of the family's 154-position model. The record is from RNAcentral.
GAUGAAGAACGUAGCGAAAUGCGAUAAGUAAUGUGAAUUGCAGAAUUCAGUGAAUCAUCGAAUCUUUGAACGCACAUUGCGCCCCUUGGUAUCCCGAUGGGCAUGCCUGUUCGAGCGUCAUUUCACCACUCAAGCCUGGCUUGGUGUUGGGCGACGUCCCCUUUGGGGACGCGCCUCGAAACGCUCGGCGGCGUGGCACCGGCUUUAAGCGUAGCAGAAUCUUUCGCUUUGGAAGUCGGGGCCCCGUCUGCCGGAAGACCUACUCGCAAGGUUGACCUCGGAUCAGGCAGGGAUACCCGCUGAACUUAAGCAUAUCAAUAAGCGGAGGA